UGGGCGGAGGAGGAGGAAGAGGAGGAGGGGAAAGCGUUGGCAGGAGCUGGCUGGGUGCGGGGGGGACGCGAGCAGCGGCACGGUGCGCGCAGGCAGCGGCGGGCACGAGCCCCACGCCUGGAGGAGGAGGAGCCAGGCCCGAAAGGAGGGCUAACGAGGUUCUCGGCAACGCAGGGACGCCCCCCUACCCCCGCCCAGAUACCGGGUAACCGCCCACCGCCCGCCGCCCGCCGGGCACCUGCCAGGGCACAUCCCCAAGCGGCGGCGAGCGCCUCUCCCCGUGCCUACGCCGCGCCGGAGGAGCGGAGCCCACUCGCCGCCCGGGACUGCGCCCCGCGGCCGCCCUCAGGGACUCCCUGGAGGCCCCGAGGUUCCAGGGGGCUGCUGGUGGGUGCUGGUGCGGCUUCGGGGACGCGGUGUGUUUGUGCGGCCCUAGAUCCCCGGUACCUCUCCCUGCCGCCCGCCCCCCAGCGUGCCCUGGCUCCGGAGCGACGUGGCUGCCGAGGAGAGGCGAUAAAAUCCAAACGUGCAACUUGAACAACAACAAAAAGAGAGACAUUUUCCUCUUGGUACUGCAGAUAAGCAGCAGAAAAAUGCAUGUCACCUUGUUCAGCCCGAUGGAGCCCUUGCUGGUAGCAUGGGCCAUGACAAGACAGGACAGACUGGAGCCACUGGCCAGGACUGAAGGCUGAACACGACUCCAUUUCUCCAGGACAAGCUCCUCUACUCAGUGUUUCUCCAACUCUUCUCCAACUUUUUUUGAAAACUGAUAAUAACAAUAAACACUACCUGACAUUUGCAAAGAACCAGAAUUUUUUUUCUUUCAUUUUUCAUUUCAUUUGACCUACUCUAGGGAAGACAGAUAAAUUUACUCCCAGUUUACAGAGGAAGAAAUUGAGACAUGAAAAGAUGUAGUGAGACAGUGCAGGAUAUCUACCUGGAAGGAUUGAUAGGAGGAUGAAAUGGGAUUAGUAU
RNAcentral lists this long non-coding RNA (975 nucleotides) under Delphinapterus leucas (beluga whale). RNAcentral's name for it is "lncRNA (ENSDLEG00000012361.1)". Lineage: Eukaryota; Metazoa; Chordata; Mammalia; Artiodactyla; Monodontidae. The record is from RNAcentral.